GGGGGAGCUGGACGCCUUGGGACGGAGAAAGGAUGUGCCGAGGACGGGGUGACAGGGACAGGUCCCCCUCCGAGGGGUGGCAGGCGGGGGCACCCACUCAUGACAUGUCACCAAUGCUCAGCACAAAACGGACACAGAUGAGCCUCCC
Molecule: long non-coding RNA, 148 nt
Organism: Pipistrellus kuhlii (Kuhl's pipistrelle)
Lineage: Eukaryota; Metazoa; Chordata; Mammalia; Chiroptera; Vespertilionidae
Exons: 2
Source: RefSeq, a predicted model, not a curated record